UAGGGAAUUUUCGUCAAUGGGCGCAAGCCUGAACGAGCAAUGCCGCGUGAACGAGGAAGGUCUUCGGAUCGUAAAGUUCUGUUGAAGGGGAAAAAGAGCGGAGAGAGGAAAUGGUCUCCGAUUGAUAUUACCCUUCGAGGAAGUCACGGCUAACUACGUGCCAGCAGCCGCGGUAAUACGUAGGUGGCGAGCGUUAUCCGGAAUGAUUGGGCGUAAAGGGUGCGUAGGCGGCCUGCUAAGUCUGGAGUGAAAGGUACCGGCUCAACCGGUACAGGCUCUGGAAACUGGCGGGCUAGAGAGCAGGAGAGGGCGGUGGAACUCCAUGUGUAGCGGUAAAAUGCGUAGAUAUAUGGAAGAACACCNGUGGCGAAGGCGGCCGCCUGGCCUGUUAACUGACGCUGAGGCACGAAAGCGUGGGGAGCAAAU
RNAcentral lists this ribosomal RNA (426 nucleotides) under uncultured Allobaculum sp. Its description in RNAcentral is "bacterial SSU rRNA". It matches the Rfam family "Bacterial small subunit ribosomal RNA", at positions 355 to 773 of the family's 1533-position model. Lineage: Bacteria; Bacillati; Bacillota; Erysipelotrichia; Erysipelotrichales; Erysipelotrichaceae. The record is from RNAcentral.